UACGGGGGGGGCAAGCGUUGUUCGGAAUUACUGGGCGUAAAGGGCGCGUAGGCAGUUCGCUAAGUUGGAUGUGAAAACUCUGGGCUCAACCCAGAGCCUGCAUCCAAAACUGGCGGGCUAGAGUUCUGGAGGGGGUAGCGGAAUUCCUGGUGUAGCGGUGAAAUGCGUAGAUAUCAGGAGGAACACCGGUGGCGAAGGCGGCUACCUGGACAGAAACUGACGCUGAGGCGCGAAAGCUAGGGGAGCAAACAGG
This 253-nucleotide ribosomal RNA is filed under the name uncultured bacterium. RNAcentral's name for it is "partial 16S ribosomal RNA". It matches the Rfam family "Bacterial small subunit ribosomal RNA", at positions 524 to 776 of the family's 1533-position model. The record is from RNAcentral.